AGCAACAGUGAGCUCUGAGUACGAUAAUCUGGCAAGGGAGGGACACGCACCGCGGCCCACCUGACCCGCUGACUGACCGGCCCCGUGGAGGACCCGGCGGACCCGUACCAGUUUGAGGUGGAGGUGGGCGAAGUCUCACCACCACCACCACCACCACACACCACCAUUGCCUCCGCCGCCGCAGCCAUGAAGAUAAAUAUAAAAUUAUUGCCCAUCAAGGCUCAUUUCUUUCUUAUUUUUGCCGGAGUGGCCCCAAUGCUUCCGUUCUUGCCCGUCUACAUCCGUCAGCAGGGCAUCUCUCCGGGCGGCAUUGGGCUCAUCUACACCAUCCUUCCCUUCACUGGUCUGCUGGCGAAGGCGGGCUCGGGGCUGCUGUCGGACUGGCUGAGGAUUCACCGCGCCGUGUUCCUGUCUGCGGUGGUGGUCUGUGGGCUGGGCUUCUUCAGCAUAUACUUCUGCCCACCCAUGCCUCUGAAGACCGACCCAAAGCCUGCGAACGUGACCUUGACCUGUGACCUCCAAGCCACUCAGAUGACCUUUUGCUCUCCGUCCCAGCGUUGCGUGCAGGAGGACUUUCUCAGCGGACUAGCAGACUCUCGUGUGGUGACCUGCCAGAUGACAUGUGACAUAACCAAAGAAGAAAAGAAGAAGAAGAAGAUUGAUCCAAACACGAGGGAAGAGACAGGAGAAGACAGAGGACCCGGGACAGACUACAACAACGGGACGAGCAACAACAACAGCAGGGACUUGUGCGAGGCUUGGGGUGUCACGGACUGUCCCAAGGAGCGUCUGAACUUAACCUUUACGAGCGAUUUGUCGGACUAUUCCAAGAAGCGACAUUGUACAUUCUUCCCCUUGUACAAUGUGACGGUCGCUGGUGUGGAGCUCACCACCCCAACCUGCCCCAAUACAACCUCCACAACCACCACCACCGUCACCACCAAAUGCUCCACCACCUGCGAUGAUGACGCCCUGAUGGUGUUCCUCGGGGCUCCACCUACCAGUCCGCCCACCAGUUACGAGGAGGUGCUGUCCCACUCCCAGUUCUGGCUCCACCUCCUCUGCAUGGUCAUAGCCUGGUGUGGCCUGGCUAUCACUGUGGUCAUGAGCGAUACCAUAUGUUUCCAGCUGCUGGGUGCGGAUGGUCACAAGUAUGGCCAGCAGCGGCUCUUCGGAUCCCUGGGGUGGGGCACGCUGGUGGUGGUCACGGGCGCCCUCAUCGAUUACGCCUCCGAGGGCCGUGCCGAGAAGGACUACACUCCGGCCUUUGUGUUGGCCCUGGCUAUACUGUUUGUCGACCUCCUGGCGGCCACGAGACUACAGGUUGAGGGGCGAGAGAAGCAAGCUGGGGCUGUGGCAGGAGCUGUGGUACGCCUGGUGUGCGAGCCUCGUGUGGUGCUGUUCAUCCUCUGCUGUGUUGUGGUGGGCAUCUCAACCGGCAUUCUGUGGACAUACCAGCUGAUGUUAGUCGAGGAUGUCGCCUUCACCUGGGACUGCCAUUUCGAACGCCUCAAGCUUCUGCAAGGCCUAGUGAUGGGGGUCCAGUGCUUCGGCGGAGAGCUCCCCUUCUUCUUCCUGUCUGGGUGGUUCAUACGUAAGCUCGGACACGCCGGAGCCAUGUCGCUGGUCAUCGGAGUCUUUGGUCUACGCUAUGUGCUGUACUAUUCCGUUUCAAAUCCGUGGUGGUUCCUGCCGAUUGAGUUGCUGAAUGGUUUUACGUUCGGGAUCUUUUACGCAACCAUGACCUCGUACGCAAGUCGGGUCGCGCCGCCUGGGUCCGAGGCGACGCUGCAGGGGAUUGUGGGCGCGGCGUUCGAGGGUAUUGGGGUGGCCACCGGGGGCUUCGUCGGGGGAGCGCUGUUCUUCACGGUGGGCGGGUCCCGGAUGUUCCUAUACACGGGGCUUUUCAACAUCCUCUUCACGGCAGCCAACAUCACCCUGCAUAUUAUCCUCAACCGUUGCUGGCCGCCUCUGUCGACACCCCCGGGGGGCAGCUCCUCCCCCGGUGGGUAUGUGCCGCCCAGUGACAGCAUGAGGCCGGUGGCAGCUACUGAGGAGGACCUGGACGAGGGCUUCUAAUAUAUACCCCCGGGCGAGUCCAUUACCUGGCCGGCGGGGGAGGAAGGUUGGCACUAGGAUGGUGAUUGGUGAUUUUUAUUAUUUUUAUUAUUAUUAUUAUUAUUAUUGUUGUUAUUUUUAUUUCUAUUGUUAUUGUUGUUAUAAGUUAUGACACCUAUAUAGAGUUUUACAUAUGUACACACACGCGCGCACACACACACACACACACACACACACACACACACACACACACACACACAUACAUACACACAUACAUACACUGCUUUGGUUCCUAUUAUGUGCGUAUCUGUUUGUGUACGCAUUUCUGUAGUUAGGUUGUACAUGCUUUCUGUUUCUGUGUGCGUAUGUUAUGAAAUACGCUCAUGGUGUAUGAUUUAUCAAUGCAAUGUGUGUGCGCGUAUGUGUGUGUGCGUGUGUGUGAGGUUAAUUUUAUGUAUGUAUUUCUUACACACACACACACAUACACACACACACAUACACACACACACACACCUACACACACACACACAAGUUAUUCCUCCAUUCAAGCUAGCCUGGCAGACAAGCUCCUCCCCCUUCCCUCCUAGCUAGUCUCCCAUUGGCUAAUCCACAGGCUGCUCGUGAUUGGUGGAGGCUGGGUGGUGGGCGGGGCCUAUCUGCCAGGGUUAUAUGAAUGGGGUCACACACACACACACACACACACACACACACACACACACACACACACACACACACACACACACAUUCAUAAAUAACAAGUGCCAGAUAUUGCCUUAAACAGCAGUGCCUCAAGGUGCUUAUGAAAGGGGUUCCAAUCCUCUGUGUGGCUCUGGGAGUGUGGCAAAGAGGAUCGAGAUGUUAUGAAGGGAUUUGAAGUGCAAAGAGGAGGAUUGAGGUGUCAUGAAGGGAGUUUGAAGGUCAUGGAAAGAGGGUUGAAGUGUAUGGGAAAGGAUUAAGUUGUUUUGAAUGGGAUUUAAGGUCAUGGAAAGAGGAUUAAAGUGUAAAGAAGAGGAUUAAGAUGUUGUGAAUGGAUUUGAAGGCAUAGAAAGAGGAUUCAGAUCAUACCAAAGAGGAUUAAGAUGUUGUGAAUGGAUUUGAAGGCAUAGAAAGAGGAUUGAAGUGUACAGGAAAGGAUCAAGUGUGUAAUGAGUGGGAUUGAAAAGGUUUGAGGGCAUGAAAAGAGGGUUGAGAUCAUACCAAAGAGGAUUAAGAUGUUGUGAAGGGAUUUGAAGGCAUAGAAAGAGGAUUGAAGUGUACAGGAAAGGAUCAAGUGAGUAAUGAAUGGGAUUGAAAGCAUUUGAGGGCAUACCAAAUAGGAUUAAGAUGACGUAAAGGGAUUUGAAGGCAUAGAAAGAGGAUUGAAGGAUGAUGAAGAGGAUCAAGAGUCUGCCAAGAGGAUUAAGAUAUUAUGAAAAGGAUUUGAAGGCAUUUAAAGAGGAUUGAAGGAUAAAGAAGAAGAAUUUGAGUAUGCCAAAGAAGAUUAAAGUAUUGAAAAGAGUGUUGGAUCUUAAAGAGGAGGAUUGAAGAGUCUGCCAAGGGGAUUAAGAUAUUAUGAAAGGGAUUUGAAUGCAUUUAAAGAGGAUUAAAGCAUAAAGAAGAAGAAUUUGAGUAUACCAAAGAAGAUUAAAGUAUUGAAAAGAGUGUUGGAUCUUAAAGAGGAGGAUUGAAGAGUCUGCCAAGGGGAUUAAGAUGUUAUGAAAGGGAUUUGAAGGCAUUUAAAGAGGAUUGAAGCACAAGGAAGAAGAAUUUGAGUAUACCAAAGAAGAUUAAAGUAUUGGAAAGAGUGUUGGAUCUUAAAGAGGAGGAUUGAAGAGUCUGCCAAGGGGAUUAAGAUAUUAUGAAAAGGAUUUGAAGGCAUAACUUUUUAAUAUGAUAAGCGAAAUCUGAACCAGAACUUUACAACUUAUUUAUUUUAAUGGAAGCUUUUUAAAAUAUGCUAAUUCGACACUGAGCAAAAAAACUAUACAACGUUUUCUUUCUUUUUCUUGAAGUUGUAUGAAGGAAAGAUAUUUAGCUUCACAAUUAGAAUGAGAAAAUUUUAGAACUUUAAUUAGGGAAGAGGAAGGAAGAGGAGUAGGAGGAGGAGGAGGAGGGGGGAGGUCGAAGGGGGUGGACAUCGCCUCCCCCCCCCUCCCCCUGGCCACCAUCCCCAGGGGUCCCUCUCGGCGAGCUCCCCCCAAAAUUGAUACUAACUUUGACGUGACGCAAAAAAUAAAUUUAAAAAAAGAAGAAAAAAAAGAAAAUCAUAUUCAUCCCUAUAGAGGAAAUUUAAGUCUCUGGCAGAGGUGAAAAUGACAAGUAUAUGACAAAAAAAGUAAAUAAUAAUAAUAAUAAUAAUAAUAAUAAUAAUAAUAAUAAUAAUAAUAAUAAUAAUAAAAAUGGAGUCAUGCGCAUCAAUAAGGAAUUUGAGAGUUUCUGGCGGAGAUUGAGGCGAACAGUAUUAAGAUUUUAGCCGGUAGAAUCGCCCGGUAGAAUCACCCGGUAGAAUCGCCCGGUAGAAUCACCCGGUAGAAUCGCCCGGUAGAAUCGCCCGGUAGAAUCGCCCGGUAGAAUCGCUCGGUAGAAUCGCCCGGUAGAAUCGCUCGGUAGAAUCGCUCGGUAGAGGUGCCGGUAGUAUUGGUAGCCGAGGGUGGGAGAGAGGAAGGUAUAGAUGAUGCGAUUCUUUGUUUUAUUAUUGACGAGUUUAUUGUUUAUUUUGGUGCUAUAGAGGUUAGGAGAGGGGCUCUCUCUCUCUCUCUCUCUCUCUCUCUCUCUCUCUCUCUCUCUCUCUCUCUCUGUUUAGUUUUCUCUCUGUUAAGUCUUUCUCUUUCAUUCUCUCUCUCUCUCUCUCUCUCUCUCUCUCUCUCUCUCUCUCUCUCUCUCAUCAUAUCAUAAUAGUGAAAAAUAAAGAUAAUUUAGAAAUAAAGAAAAUAAAUAUAAAAAUAAGUUCGGUAGACUAGUACGGCAGGUCCCCAAUCUAAUUUCCCGAGGGUUUUAUUUCCCGGGAAAAUUUUGGAUCCACUCAAAAUUGUACUGUAUCAAUUUUUUUUUAAUAUAUUUUGUUUUAUUUUAUUUUAUUAUUUUUUUUAUUUCAUAUUUUUUCCCCGUUGAACUAUCCUGAACCCCGAUUUCCCAAGGUUUUAAUUUCCCGGGAAAAUUUUGGAUCUACUCAAAAUUUUACUAUACCCAUUUUUAAUUAUUUUGUUGUUUUAUUUUAUUUAUUAACUACCCCUGAAAAUGCCCACAACUCCUACAAAAGCCUUGUCAAAUAUGAUUCCUUAGGUUCAUGGUACAGCGGAAGGGUCACACUACCACCAGGGUCAUAAAACUACCCCUGGAAAUGCCCACAACUCCUAUGAAAGCCUUGUCAAAUAUGCGUUUCCUUAGGUUCAUGGUACAGAGGAAGGAUCAUAAAACCACCCCAGAAAAUACCCACAACUCCUAUGAAAGACUUAUCAAAUAUGCGUUUCUUUAGGUUCAUGGUACAGAGGAAGGGUCACACUACCACCAGGGUCAUAAAACCACCCCAGAAAAUACCCACAACUCCUAUGAAAGACUUAUCAAAUAUGCGUUUCUUUAGGUUCAUGGUACAGAGGAAGGGUCACACUACCACCAGGGCCAUAAAACCACCCCUGGAAAUACCCACAACUCCCACGAAAGCCUUGUCAAAUUUGCGUUUCCUUAGGUUCAUGGUACAGAGGAAGGGUCAUAAAACCACCCCAGGAAAUGCCCACAAUUCCUGCAAAAGCCUUGUCAAAUAUGCGUUUCCUUAGGUUCAUGGUACAGAGGAAGGGUCAAGCUACCACCAGGGCCAUAAAACCACCCCUGGAAAUGCCCACAACUCCCACGAAAGCCUUGUCAGAUAUGUGAACUUGGGCAGCGAAAUGUUUUAAAAUACAACCCAUAGAAAUAAAAUAGAAUUAGCUAGACAGAGGAAUUAGAUAAUGUAUUUUUGCACCGCCCCGCGCACACCGGCGAAGCAGUCUUAUGUAACACAGACUGUCGUAGAUAGCUUUCUUAUCCCUGUUGUUGUUGUUGUUGCUCCGCUCGCUGCCUCCGCCACACAUAAAGGUUCAAAUUCCACAUUCACUGCAAAGAUAGAGGUUCAAAGUCCACAUUCACCGUAAAGAUAGAGGUUCAGAUUCCACAUUCACUGCAAAGAUAGAGGUUCAAAUUCCACAUUCACUGCAAAGAUAGAGGUUCAGAGUCCACAUUCACUGCAAAGAUAGAGGUUCAAAUUCCACAUUCACUGCAAAGAUAGAGGUUCAAAUUCCACAUUCACUGCAAAGAUAGAGGUUCAGAUUCCACAUUUGCCGCAUAUAUAGUGGUUCAAACUCCACAUUCACCGCAAAGAUAGAGGUUCAAAUCCUAUAUUUUCCGUCUCUGAAAAGCACUUUGGCAUAUGUAUACUUUCAUCCUAUUUAUGUAUACCUGGAGAAGUAUACAUGAUCAUUCUUUGUAUGUAGAAAGAGGUUUCGAUCCUAUUAUGACCAACAUUAAUAGAGGUUCCAACACUAUUUUCCAUACAUAUACAUUCAGUUUCGUCCCCUUAUAUGUAUACUUGGAAAGGUAUACAUAGUUUUUCUUUGUAUAUGAAGAUCGAACCCACAGAUAAAGGUUUCGAUCCUACUAUGACCAACAUUAAUAGAGGUUCCAACACUAUUAUCCCAUACAUAUACACUCAGUUUUGUCCCUUUUUAUGUAUACUUGGAAAGGUAUACAUAGUUUUUCUUUGUAUAUGAAGAUCGAACCCACAGAUACAGGUUUCGAUCCUAUCAUGACCGACACAGAUGUUCCAACACCAUAUUUGCUCUCUAAGAAAAACCACCUCAGUUUUGCCUCAUAUGUAUAGACAGCGAGGUAUACAUAUCUAUUCCUUGUAUGUAUAGUUGCAAAUAUAUACAUAAUUUUGACAUGUAUAGAAGCAGAUGUAUACUCUAUUUUUUGCUAGCUAUGAAAAACACACACAGGUAUACAUAUAAUUGUGCUUUGUGUAUGUGUAGAUGGGGAGGUAUACAUGAUUUUUGCCAUAUGUAUAGACCCAGAUGUAUACUCGUUUUAUUUUUGAUGUUUUGACCUUGCCCGAAAUUGACCUAUCUUGAUACCAUUUUUGCUGGCUACAAAAAGCGCACACAGGUAUACAUAUAAUUGUGCUUUGUGUAUGUGUAGAUGGGGAGGUAUACAUGAUUUUUGCCAUAUGUAUAGACCCAGAUGUAUACUCAAUUUAUUUUUGAUGUUUUGACCUCGCCCGAAAUCGACCUCACUUUUGUCCAAUAUGGGAGUGGCAAGUUGCAUUUUUAAAUUUUUUUUUUAACAUUUUUUGUUUUUCGUCGUAAAAAAAUCACACUAAAAAAUUAUAUAUAUACCUAAUUCCAGGAUCGUCUAUUUAACUAUCUAUCUAUCUAUCUAUUUUUACAUCCGUGCAGCUCUCCAGGUGUUCCGAUCUCCGUCUCAAAGAAAAUGUACACAGGUUAAUCUUCAGGGUAACUCACUUAACUAACUAUCUCAGUCUAUUUAUCUAUCUAUCUAUAUUUAUCUAUUUAUUGUUACCCUCCAUGCAGCUCUCUGUUCAUCUCGUACCCAGACAAAUUCACAGUGGUGCCUCCAAGAAGUGUGUGUGUGUGUGUUCCCAGUGUUGUAGAAGUCAGUUGUGUUGCAGAGAGAGAGAGAGAGUUGUAUUGCAGAGAGAAAAAGUUGUAUUGCAGAGCUGUGUUGCAGAGAGAGAGAGAGAGAGAGAGAGAGUUGUAUUGCAGAGAGAAAAAGUCAUAUUGCAGAGCUGUGUUGCAGAGAGAGAGAGAGAGAGUUGUAUUACAGAGAGAAAAAGUUGUAUUGCAGAGCUGUGUUGCAGAGAGAGAGAGAGAGAGAGAGAGAGACUUGUGAAUUCCAGAGUUGUGUUGCAGAGAGAGAGGUAAAGUUGUGUUGCCAAGAAAGUUCAUUGCAAAAGAGGCAACUGUGUAUAUAUUGUUUACGUAGAAAAAAAAGUUUAAAUAUUCUGUUUUUGAUGUCAAAUUUUAUUAUUACUUAUUAUUAUUAUUAUGCAUUUUAAGCAAGGUAAAGACACGAAGGGCCGCUCUCACAGUGGUCUGGUACGCACCCUAACCAAAGGCCCGACCAUCCUGUGUUACCAUCGCCUUGACCCGCCUUCACAGUGGUCUGGUACGCACCCUAACCAGAGGCCCGACCAUCCUGGCAGCACCCGUCACCAUCGCCUUGACCCGCCUUCACAGUGGUCUGGUACGCACCCUAACCAGAGGCCCGACCAUCCUGGCAGCACCCGUUACGAUCGCCUUGACCCGCCUUCACAGUGGUCUGGUAUGCACCCUAACCAGAGGCCCGACCAUCCUGUGUUACCAUCGCCUUGAUCCGCUUUCACAGUCGCUGUUUUCAUGGUAUCGGCGACUACCAGGUCAUGAUGAGACGAAGGCGCGUGACUCGGCAGUGUUGGUGUGCUAACCUAACCUAACCUUGAACCUAACCUAACCUAACCUAACCUUGAACCUAACCUAACCUAACCUAACCUUGAACCUAACCUAACCUAACCUAACCUUGAACCUAACCUAACCUUUAACCUAACCUAACCUAACCUUGAACCUAACCUAACCUAACUUAACCUAACCUAAGAAAUAUGGCCCCCGCAGCUACCAGGUUAACUCCUUCAUAUCAUUUCCAUAAGACUUCUAAAUCCAUCAACAGUCACUGCCUUAGCCUUCACGUUCUUCUGUAAACCUCUUUUGUCUACCCAUAUGAUUCACCCUCCUCCUCCUCCUCUUCCUCCUCUCUUCCUCCCUCCCCUUCUUCUCCUUCCUCUUUUUUUAAUUAUUUAUGUGUUUAUUUUAUUUGUUUUGGUAACGAUGCAAGGAUUCUCAACCUCACAAAUCGCCUUCAAAAUAUGGAAAGACUCAAAUUAUUAUUAUUAUUAUUAUUAUUAUUAUUAUUAUUAUUAUUAUUAUUAUUAUUUUUCACAUGGUAAUGAUCCAGUAGUAUUCUCAUUAGUGUAUUAUUAGUAGUAUUUUCAUUGUUAUUAUUGUACCCCUCCAAAGAUAUAUGUAUGUAUGUAUGUAUGUAUGUAUGUAUAUGGAUGUACAGAAUGUGGCUAUACAUACAUACAUACAUACAUACUCAGCACUUUCUCACCAUAGUAUUUUUUGCCUAGGAAUAGUCUGAUGAUAGUUGCUGGUUCACUAUGUUAAGCUAUUCCAAUUUUGUCAAGUUUUUUACAUGUCAAAUUUAUGUCACGAUGUUUUUGUAGUCAACGAUUUGUAGACAUAAACUUAAAAUGCUUAGCCAA
Eriocheir sinensis (Chinese mitten crab) is the source of this 9325-nucleotide long non-coding RNA. RefSeq lists it as uncharacterized. NCBI's taxonomy places the organism in Eukaryota, Metazoa, Arthropoda, Malacostraca, Decapoda, Varunidae. The transcript is spliced from 14 exons. The record is from RefSeq and is a predicted model, not a curated record.